RNAcentral lists this ribosomal RNA (465 nucleotides) under uncultured bacterium. RNAcentral describes it as "partial 16S ribosomal RNA". It matches the Rfam family "Bacterial small subunit ribosomal RNA", at positions 338 to 795 of the family's 1533-position model. The record is from RNAcentral.
CCUACGGGAGGCAGCAGUGGGGAAUAUUGCGCAAUGGGCGAAAGCCUGACGCAGCGACGCCGCGUGAGGGAUGAAGGUCUUCGGAUCGUAAACCUCUGUCAGCAGGGAAGAACGGUCACUGUGCUAAUCAGCAGUGAAUUGACGGUACCUGCAAAGGAAGCACCGGCUAACUCCGUGCCAGCAGCCGCGGUAAUACGGAGGGUGCGAGCGUUAAUCGGAAUUACUGGGCGUAAAGCGCUCGUAGGCGGUAUGUCAAGUCAAGGGUGAAAUCCCCGCGCUCAACGUGGGAACUGCCUUUGAAACUGACAAACUGGAGUGUGUGAGAGGAUAGUGGAAUUCCAGGUGUAGGAGUGGAAUCCGUAGAUAUCUGGAGGAACAUCAGUGGCGAAGGCGACUAUCUGGCACAUAACUGACGCUGAGGAGCGAAAGCGUGGGGAGCAAACAGGAUUAGAUACCCCAGUAGUC